UCCUGGUUAGCUCAGUUGAUCAGGCGCCAGACUGCUGUGCGGGAGGUCGCGGGUUCGAAUCCCGGCCAGACCACAAACCAGGGU
This is a non-coding RNA of Desmophyllum pertusum, 84 nucleotides long. Lineage: Eukaryota; Metazoa; Cnidaria; Anthozoa; Scleractinia; Caryophylliidae. The record is from the annotation of a GenBank genome assembly.